This 1361-nucleotide ribosomal RNA is filed under the name Microbacterium sp. MCCC 1A11195. RNAcentral's name for it is "bacterial SSU rRNA". It matches the Rfam family "Bacterial small subunit ribosomal RNA", at positions 69 to 1441 of the family's 1533-position model. Lineage: Bacteria; Bacillati; Actinomycetota; Actinomycetes; Micrococcales; Microbacteriaceae. The record is from RNAcentral.
GAAGCUCCAGCUUGCUGGGGUGGAUGAGUGGCGAACGGGUGAGUAACACGUGAGUAACCUUCCCUUGACUCUGGGAUAAGCCCGGGAAACUGGGUCUAAUACCGGAUAUGACUUCUCAUCGCAUGGUGGGGGGUGGAAAGAUUUAUCGGUCUUGGAUGGACUCGCGGCCUAUCAGCUUGUUGGUGAGGUAAUGGCUCACCAAGGCGACGACGGGUAGCCGGCCUGAGAGGGUGACCGGCCACACUGGGACUGAGACACGGCCCAGACUCCUACGGGAGGCAGCAGUGGGGAAUAUUGCACAAUGGGCGCAAGCCUGAUGCAGCGACGCCGCGUGAGGGAUGACGGCCUUCGGGUUGUAAACCUCUUUCAGUAGGGAAGAAGCGAAAGUGACGGUACCUGCAGAAGAAGCGCCGGCUAACUACGUGCCAGCAGCCGCGGUAAUACGUAGGGCGCGAGCGUUAUCCGGAAUUAUUGGGCGUAAAGAGCUCGUAGGCGGUUUGUCGCGUCUGCCGUGAAAGUCCGGGGCUUAACCCCGGAUCUGCGGUGGGUACGGGCAGACUAGAGUGCAGUAGGGGAGAUUGGAAUUCCUGGUGUAGCGGUGGAAUGCGCAGAUAUCAGGAGGAACACCGAUGGCGAAGGCAGAUCUCUGGGCCGUAACUGACGCUGAGGAGCGAAAGCGUGGGGAGCAAACAGGCUUAGAUACCCUGGUAGUCCACCCCGUAAACGUUGGGAACUAGUUGUGGGGUCCAUUCCACGGAUUCCGUGACGCAGCUAACGCAUUAAGUUCCCCGCCUGGGGAGUACGGCCGCAAGGCUAAAACUCAAAGGAAUUGACGGGGACCCGCACAAGCGGCGGAGCAUGCGGAUUAAUUCGAUGCAACGCGAAGAACCUUACCAAGGCUUGACAUAUACGAGAACGGGCCAGAAAUGGUCAACUCUUUGGACACUCGUAAACAGGUGGUGCAUGGUUGUCGUCAGCUCGUGUCGUGAGAUGUUGGGUUAAGUCCCGCAACGAGCGCAACCCUCGUUCUAUGUUGCCAGCACGUAAUGGUGGGAACUCAUGGGAUACUGCCGGGGUCAACUCGGAGGAAGGUGGGGAUGACGUCAAAUCAUCAUGCCCCUUAUGUCUUGGGCUUCACGCAUGCUACAAUGGCCGGUACAAAGGGCUGCAAUACCGUGAGGUGGAGCGAAUCCCAAAAAGCCGGUCCCAGUUCGGAUUGAGGUCUGCAACUCGACCUCAUGAAGUCGGAGUCGCUAGUAAUCGCAGAUCAGCAACGCUGCGGUGAAUACGUUCCCGGGUCUUGUACACACCGCCCGUCAAGUCAUGAAAGUCGGUAACACCUGAAGCCGGUGGCCUAACCC